This 232-nucleotide ribosomal RNA is filed under the name uncultured bacterium. RNAcentral describes it as "partial 16S ribosomal RNA". It matches the Rfam family "Bacterial small subunit ribosomal RNA", at positions 118 to 348 of the family's 1533-position model. The record is from RNAcentral.
UGAGGAACAUGACCUUCGGCGGGGGAUAGCCGGCCCAACGGCCGGGUAAUACCGCGUACGACCACAUGGGGACAUCCCCGAGUGGUGAAAGCAGCAAUGCGCCGAUGGAGUGCCUCGCGGCCUAUCAGCUAGUUGGUGAGGUAACGGCUCACCAAGGCGACGACGGGUAGCUGGUCUGAGAGGAUGGCCAGCCACAUUGGGACUGAGACACGGCCCAGACUCCGUAGGGAGG